GAGGUUUUAGCUUAAUAAAAGUAACUGAUUUGCAUUCAGUAGAUGUAAGGUGUAAUCUUACAGACCUUA
This 69-nucleotide transfer RNA is filed under the name Pseudomys chapmani (western pebble-mound mouse). RNAcentral's name for it is "tRNA-Ala". It matches the Rfam family "tRNA". From Rfam's summary of the family: Transfer RNA (tRNA) molecules are approximately 80 nucleotides in length. Their secondary structure includes four short double-helical elements and three loops (D, anti-codon, and T loops). The record is from RNAcentral. Lineage: Eukaryota; Metazoa; Chordata; Mammalia; Rodentia; Muridae.